This 490-nucleotide ribosomal RNA is filed under the name uncultured bacterium. RNAcentral describes it as "partial 16S ribosomal RNA". It matches the Rfam family "Bacterial small subunit ribosomal RNA", at positions 30 to 507 of the family's 1533-position model. The record is from RNAcentral.
AUUGAACGCUGGCGGCAGGCCUAACACAUGCAAGUCGAACGGUAACAGGAAACAGCUUGCUGUUUCGCUGACGAGUGGCGGACGGGUGAGUAAUGUCUGGGAAACUGCCUGAUGGAGGGGGAUAACUACUGGAAACGGUAGCUAAUACCGCAUAACGUCGCAAGACCAAAGAGGGGGACCCUCGGGCCUCUUGCCAUCGGAUGUGCCCAGAUGGGAUUAGCUUGUUGGUGGGGUAACGGCUCACCAAGGCGACGAUCCCUAGCUGGUCUGAGAGGAUGACCAGCCACACUGGAACUGAGACACGGUCCAGACUCCUACGGGAGGCAGCAGUGGGGAAUAUUGCACAAUGGGCGCAAGCCUGAUGCAGCCAUGCCGCGUGUAUGAAGAAGGCCUUCGGGUUGUAAAGUACUUUCAGCGGGGAGGAAGGGAGUAAAGUUAAUACCUUUGCUCAUUGACGUUACCCUCAGAAGAAGCACCGGCUAACUCCGUG